UGCUCCGUGAACAACACAUGGCAUCAUUGAUGGAUAUAAAUUGAAAUUCUAUCAAGUUAAGAUGAAAGGUUUCAACUUUCAAACCAAAGUGAGGGAAUUUUGAUUUGUGCAUGCAAUCAAUAUUUUCUCAUGACCAGAAAAAGGAAAAGCCUUAAGCCGCAAAAGUUCUUGAUCACUUUAAAAAGUGAAAAGAGAUCGAGGGGGUCCUUUAGAAAAUAACACUUAUGACUCUCAUAGAGUAAGAUGCUUUUAGAAAAUAAGAGGACCAUUUGAGCACUAACAGAGAAAACAUGUCUUGGACAUGAAAGGAAUCCUUCCCUUGAACCAUUCACACACCCUAACUCUCUCUUCUCAUUUUAGACACAAUCAAUUAACUACUGCAGAACCUUGAUGAGAUUCAUCAGUUUGCUUUUGCUCCCCACUUCCCAUAUGCAGCUUUUCUAUCUCUCUUUAUCUUUUACCAUUUCAACUAGUUACAUCUUUUCACUCACCAGCAUCAUGAUAAUAUGGCAGAACUUAAAGUUCGUUGGUCGUUUUGGAUUACAACAAUGGUAAUGCUUAUCAACUACGCGCGCACACCAACUUUGCUACAUGUUUUCUUUUGAUGGAAUUUCUU
Molecule: long non-coding RNA, 616 nt
Filed under: Lupinus angustifolius (narrow-leaved blue lupine)
Lineage: Eukaryota; Viridiplantae; Streptophyta; Magnoliopsida; Fabales; Fabaceae
Description: long non-coding RNA (LANG_LNC002507)
Source: RNAcentral